This 98-nucleotide transfer RNA is filed under the name Chloroflexota bacterium. Its description in RNAcentral is "Chloroflexi bacterium tRNA-Sec". It matches the Rfam family "Selenocysteine transfer RNA". Lineage: Bacteria; Bacillati; Chloroflexota. The record is from RNAcentral.
GGGAGUAGAUAGUUCCCGGUGGGGCUCACGGGCUUCAACCCCGAUGGGGGGCGGCCAGCGCCGUCCCCGGUGGGUUCGACUCCCUCCUACUCCCGCCA